UUUGAUCCAACUGUGCAUAAUCUUGGAUAUGCUCUCUGAAGGUUGUGGACUGUCGCAUGUGUGGGGACCCAAAUUCAGUCCUUAGGUUUGCUUUCAUAGAGUUCGCUGAUGAGGGUAAUAUAUCCAUAUCCAACCAUGUUUCAGUUUGCUUACUCUGUGUAAUGGAUCUACUGUUUAUCGGGUGAAAAACAUCGAUGUCCCAGAGGGUGCAAGGGCUGCUCCGAAUCUGUCAAGAACCGUGCUUGGAUAUUAUCCUGUCAAUGUUCUGCCGUCAAAAACUGCCAUUGCACCAGUCAACGAAACAUUCCUACCCAGGUCUGACGAUGAACGUGAAAUGUGUGCAAGCACUAUCUACUGCACAAACAUUGACAAGAAGGUCACUCAAGCAGAUCUAAAUUUAUUCUUUGAGUCCAUAUGUGGUGAGGUUGGUCGUUCUUUACUCCAAACACAAUCUCCCUUCUGUACAGCUAAAAGUUUGCAGAAAUGGCA
Zea mays is the source of this 489-nucleotide long non-coding RNA. RefSeq lists it as uncharacterized. Lineage: Eukaryota; Viridiplantae; Streptophyta; Magnoliopsida; Poales; Poaceae. The record is from RefSeq and is a predicted model, not a curated record. The transcript is spliced from 3 exons.